Vicia faba (fava bean) is the source of this 273-nucleotide non-coding RNA. Lineage: Eukaryota; Viridiplantae; Streptophyta; Magnoliopsida; Fabales; Fabaceae. The record is from the annotation of a GenBank genome assembly.
AUGGGUGAUUUUCAACAAAAACUGGAAGCACUGAAGGGUCUAGUUGGUGUGCUGAAUAGCAUGGAGGAUGAUGGUGAAACUGAACCUCAAAACGCUUCACCUUCCACCCCACACAACUACAAUCCUACCCCUCAGCCUGGAAGGAACCAUCGUCGUUCAUUUGGAAAGUAUAAUAACUCUGGGAAACAGAAUAUAAAAGGUCUAAGUAAUCAAACUGGUUUCACUGAAGGAAAUGCUAAUGGAGCUAUCAACUUUGGAGAUUUACGUAUGUAA